CGUCACCGAAAACAUCAUGGCGGGGUAGUGUGUUCAUGAGCGCUAAACUUGGAAUAAAACGUCAAACAUAUGGAAUAUAUCUCAAAAAAAUUCAUUUAAUCACGAGUCUCUCUCUGCAGUAGGACAGAAUGGUCCGCAGAUCCAGGAUCAGUAUUCGGCCCAACGUCAGGCCUGCGGGCAGAGGCCCAGCAGCCCUAGCCUCCUCCCAAGACACUCCUCCAUCGUCCCAGGCCACCAAGGCUCCUUCCCAGGCAGGGGGCCAGGAGGUGGACACCACCACUACUGCAGUUCCAGAAACCCCCACAGAGUCCACCACACCCAGAGAGGAUGAUAAAGACCCAAAUGGUGAGGCUUCCAGUGGCACCCCCUCAGACAGUAUUCAAAGGAGGAAGAGCAACCCCGGCCCUCACCCUCUACUCCUCCCGGAACUCCAAGUCCCCUGUGAGAGUGGGCACUGAGACCCCAGCCCCUGAGGCUCCAGGGGCCCCCCAGCGAGACAGAUGCUGGACCCCCACAGGGCAUGAGAUGCCCAAGGCGGAGGCCCUCUGGAGGUAGUAGGCAGGCCAAAGUACAGCCCAAACCCAGCCCCCUGUCCCCAUCUUCCCCAGCCCCUGAGACAACAACCCCCCCACUGGGGAAGCAGGCAGUGGAUUACUCAUCCCCGUCACAACAGACCCUGCAGGCAGCAGACAAGGAGGAAACAUCCUCACAGCUCACCAAACAAGACAAAGGCAGCAUCCAAUUAGAUCUCUCGAAAAAAACACCAGCCACUAAAGCUCCAUCCACUCCAUCAAAGAAUGUCCCCUCAUCCUCCCUUUCACACGAAGAGGGCAUCUCAGUAUCUGAGAGAGAUAAGACUCUGGUAGCCAGGUCUGUGUCUGUUGGGCUCACCGGGUUGGCACCAAGAAAGUCCAGGCUUAGCAAGUUCCUGAAUGACCUAACGGACCUGCAGAGGCUGGCCAAGGCCCGGAAGCUCAGAGAACUGCUGAGACAGGAGAUGAGCAAGGAAAAGCAGUGAUAUUGUUGGUCCUGGAGGUGGUUUGGAGGAAGGGUAUGCUGGUAUCCUCUGCAAAGCCCCUGAGCCCAUGUCAUUUGAUGAGGUCGUCCCUCAACCCACAUACACCAGUAUCAAGGAAGUGGAGUCUGGCUCCACAGCAGGCCCAGUAGAUGUGUGUGCCUCAGCCAAUCCCUCAGGAGACUCCAUGGCUGACGCGGAGACUAGGGAGGACAUAGAUCCUCCUUUUAAGAGGAAAGUGCUAGAGAGAGCCAGGAGAGUUCUGUCUGUGUGACCUAGACAAACUGCAGAUCAGACCUAACACAGCAGUAAGGAAACAGCCCAGUUGUUCGGUCCUAGCCAAGGAGGCUGUGUCAGCAUCCACCUCAGACUAUACCACCAUCCCAGAGACGGACCACCCCACAGCCUCUACCCCAGAGCAUACCACCAUCCCAGAGACGGACCACCCCACAGCCUCCACCCCAGACCAUACCACCACCCCAGAGACGAACCACCCCACAGCCUCUACCCCAGACCAUACCACCACCACCAACCCAGAGACGGACCACCCCACAGCCCCCAACCCAGCCAGGUCCCUCCGUCACAGGAACAGCAUCAGGAGAGGUGGCGGCUGAGGAGCAGGAGAUUGUGGGCCGUUUAGACCUCCCAGAGACAGAGGAGGACACGCCCACUGGAGGGAGCGAGAUGGAGGACCGUAGGUCAGGGGCGGAGUCUCAGGCUGCCUGUCAAAUGACACCGCUGGAUACGAGUGGCCCCUUGAGCAGGCCUGGUAGAAGACCCAGAGGAUUUCUUUCUUUCAUGUCCAAUAAGACCAGCAACCCUGCAGCUGCCCCCUCUGCCCCUCCUCGAGGACCCAGAGCAGCCCCUCAGAGGCCCCAGGUCAACACCACCCGGCCAGGGGGGAAACAGCGGCACCAGCCCCCUCCACCACCAGAUACAUGCCUGCCCCCUCUACUAGAAACACCACCAUUAGUUCCACCAGAAUGGUCACUAGGCCAGACAGUUCCCCCAGGGUGACCUGGGAACAGCCCUCUGAUGUCCAGGCCUUCCACUCAGACCCAGAUCCCAGUACUUUCCAAUGUACUACAGCUACCAAGCCUUCUCAGGUACCAGCCACCCAGCCCAGUGCGUCUCCCUGUGUAGACAGCUGUUCAGCAAGCGAGGAACCCCUUAACGUGUCCCAGUACUUCUUCAGUGACAUCUUCACUGAAGUUGAGGGAAGUGAGGGAUGAGAGGGGGAGGAAGGAGGAGGAAGUGAAAGGAGAAACGGAAGUCACUCUCGGUUUUAAUCAAACUGGAAAACAAAAUGUUAAGAAAUCCUUGAAAGAUUGCGCUUGAGAAAAAUCUGGGUUCUUUGCAUGUAUGUCUGUGUAUGUAGCAGUAAAAUUACGUCUCUGCUUGUGAUUAUGCUGUUUCAUGCUUGCAGUGAAUAGAUUUGGCCACAAGAUGGCAACAGGGAAAACAAAAAAAGUGAAAAUGUAUCUUCAAAUCAUAAAUGUUUUGUCCAAACUGGCACCGAGAAGCUUUGCCAAUGUCCCAUAUUGGAUGAUUACAUUUUUGGCUCUUUCACCCCAAUCAUAUCUUCUAGCCUUUUGGGUAAUCUAUAUAUUCUAAAAUAUAUUUAUUUGGUUAUAUUUUUUCAAACCUCACAAAGCUAGACAUUUAUGGUCAUUUUUCUCCAUCUGCAUACAAGCAGAAUACUUUAAAUCAAUGUUAACUCACUCUUCUACAUUGGAGAGUUUGGCAGUUUCCUCAGGGACUUUCACAUUCAGAUUUGUGUUUUUAUUUGAAGCAUUUUUUACGUUUAAAUCGGAAACCAUUGUCUUAAUGAACAUUGUAUAUAUGUUUGUUUGAAUGUAGAUCAGAUAUACUGGAAGGGGUGUAUUCCCCGAGCAUUUACAGUUUUUCUUUCUUGGUGUUUCUUGGUGAACAAGACCCAGCUUGAGGGACACCACAGUGAUGUCAACACUUGUUUCUUUAUUUCAUGCUACCUGAAGAUACAGGACAUAUAUUUUCAAAUGGCUCUGCAAAUAAACCUCUCAUUUAAUACAUGUACAAGUGACAAACUCACAGAAACCGUGCACAGAUCAUGAGUCCAAUUUCAAGGAUUUAUUAUGUUCUGCAGCCACUGUUCAAACUAACGUAGCUAUUAUAUAGCUCAUGUGAAUACAAUUAUAUACGUUAAUGUCUCCUUUAGUGUUAUGUCUUGCUACAUUAUAGAAAACUGAGUAUAGAAAAGUAGAAGAAAUGCAUAAGAAUGGUCAGAGGGUCUUGAAACUGGACUAGUGUAUGAGACCACCUUGCAGACCACCUAUGCAACCUAUGCAGAACCUUAUGUUCACAUAAGAAAUAUGUUACGAAGUUUUUCUAAAAAUAUUGUGUUGUUAUUUUGGAGAAGAUAGCAUGGAUAUCAUCUUAGUUAGUCUCAACAGAAAUUAAGAGGACACAUGAUCUCAAAAGCCUUAAAGGUGUAAUGAAAACUUCAGCAUUUGAGUGUAGUCUUUUUUUUUGCUGUGUGUGUGUCGGGGGGAUGGGGGAGGAAUGUGCAGAUGUUUAAUUUCCAAGCGGCAUAGAGAGGCAGUGAGAUCGAAGAGAGGAAGCUGCAUGUUACUAGGUGACCUCACUACAUAAAUAUUCCACGCUCUCACAGUCAGCCCUUGUGCAGUUCCACUCUUCUUUUGGUCCAUGUUGAAUAGGGAUGUAAAGGAAUUCACUUUUAUAGACCCUGUGCUUUUAAAUUAAUCAGGGGUUUUCCAACUGUUUCUGUUCUGCCUUAAAGAUGUGAAAUAAACACUGAGCAUGAGAGGUA
This is a long non-coding RNA of Oncorhynchus kisutch (coho salmon), 3824 nucleotides long. RefSeq lists it as uncharacterized. NCBI's taxonomy places the organism in Eukaryota, Metazoa, Chordata, Actinopteri, Salmoniformes, Salmonidae. The record is from RefSeq and is a predicted model, not a curated record. The transcript is spliced from 7 exons.